GGAUAUUAUUGGAAGAUGUCGUGGGUAAG
RNAcentral lists this non-coding RNA (29 nucleotides) under Rattus norvegicus (Norway rat). Lineage: Eukaryota; Metazoa; Chordata; Mammalia; Rodentia; Muridae. The record is from RNAcentral.